UUCCAGAUGCAUCAGAGGAAGAGCCGCCCAAUAGUGAGGAUGAUACCGAUUUGAUCGUUAUCGAUUUGAAUGAACAUCGGUUGCAUAACAGGAAUCCUGUCACAACGCCAGACGCUAACAACGCUGUAUCCAAGCUCUCUGAUAGCGAUGACAAGCGUAAUUGUCCUAAAAAUGACGAUAAUUGUGAAUUAUUAUGCGGCGAAAGCAGCGUGGAGCGUAAUUGUUCCAAAGAGGCCGAUAAUUUUUUUUGUGAAUCCUCAACCAGUGAAGUUACUGAAGAAGAAUUUUCCAAGAAGAAGAAUGAUGAUAACAGCUCAAAUAGCAGCCCCUAAAAUGCCCUAAUAGGGUGCAUACCAGUUAAUGUUAGUUUAAUCAAUUCUCAACCAGUGAAGUUAAUGAAUUUUCCAAGAACGAUGAUGAUCAGAGCUGAAAUACCAGCCUUUAAAAUGCCCUAAUAGGGUUU
Non-coding RNA from Drosophila bipectinata, 463 nucleotides. The record is from RefSeq and is a predicted model, not a curated record. Lineage: Eukaryota; Metazoa; Arthropoda; Insecta; Diptera; Drosophilidae.